Molecule: ribosomal RNA, 739 nt
Filed under: uncultured Bacilli bacterium
Lineage: Bacteria; Bacillati; Bacillota; Bacilli
Description: bacterial SSU rRNA
Rfam family: Bacterial small subunit ribosomal RNA
Source: RNAcentral
GACGAACGCUGGCGGCGUGCCUAAUACAUGCAAGUCGAACGCUUUUUCUUUCACCGGAGCUUGCUCCAUCGAAAGAAAAAGAGUGGCGAACGGGUGAGUAACACGUGGGUAACCUGCCCAUCAGAAGGGGAUAACACUUGGAAACAGGUGCUAAUACCGUAUAACACUAUUUUCCGCAUGGAAGAAAGUUGAAAGGCGCUUUUGCGUCACUGAUGGAUGGACCCGCGGUGCAUUAGCUAGUUGGUGAGGUAACGGCUCACCAAGGCAACGAUGCAUAGCCGACCUGAGAGGGUGAUCGGCCACACUGGGACUGAGACACGGCCCAGACUCCUACGGGAGGCAGCAGUAGGGAAUCUUCGGCAAUGGACGAAAGUCUGACCGAGCAACGCCGCGUGAGUGAAGAAGGUUUUCGGAUCGUAAAACUCUGUUGUUAGAGAAGAACAAGGAUGAGAGUAAAAUGUUCAUCCCUUGACGGUAUCUAACCAGAAAGCCACGGCUAACUACAUGCCAGCAGCCGCGGUAAUACGUAGGUGGCAAGCGUUGUCCGGAUUUAUUGGGCGUAAAGCGAGCGCAGGCGGUUUCUUAAGUCUGAUGUGAAAGCCCCCGGCUCAACCGGGGAGGGUCAUUGGAAACUGGGAGACUUGAGUGCAGAAGAGGAGAGUGGAAUUCCAUGUGUAGCGGUGAAAUGCGUAGAUAUAUGGAGGAACACCAGUGGCGAAGGCGGCUCUCUGGUCUGUAA